CAGUCGCCACGGUAAUACGUAGGUGGCAAGCGUUAUCCGGAAUUAUUGGGCGUAAAGCGCGCGUAGGUGGUUUUUUAAGGCUGAUGUGAAAGCCCACGGCUCAACCGUGGAGGGUCAUUGGAAACUGGAAAACUUGAGUGCAGAAGAGGAAAGUGGAAUUCCAUGUGUAGCGGUGAAAUGCGCAGAGAUAUGGAGGAACACCAGUGGCGAAGGCGACUUUCUGGUCUGUAACUGACGCUGAUGUGCGAAAGCGUGGGGAUCAUACAGGAUUAGAGACCCCGGUAGUCCCUGUCUCUUAUAC
RNAcentral lists this ribosomal RNA (301 nucleotides) under uncultured bacterium. RNAcentral's name for it is "partial 16S ribosomal RNA". It matches the Rfam family "Bacterial small subunit ribosomal RNA", at positions 509 to 807 of the family's 1533-position model. The record is from RNAcentral.